AUUGAACGCUGGCGGCAUGCCUUACACAUGCAAGUCGAACGGUAACAGGUCUUCGGAUGCUGACGAGUGGCGAACGGGUGAGUAAUACAUCGGAACGUGCCUAGUAGUGGGGGAUAACUACUCGAAAGAGUGGCUAAUACCGCAUGAGAUCUACGGAUGAAAGCGGGGGAUCGCAAGACCUUGUGCCACUAGAGCGGCCGAUGGCAGAUUAGGUAGUUGGUGGGAUAAAAGCUUGCCAAGCCGACGAUCUGUAGCUGGUCUGAGAGGACGAUCGGCCACACUGGGACUGAGACACGGCCCAGACUCCUACGGGAGGCAGCAGUGGGGAAUUUUGGACAAUGGGCGAAAGCCUGAUCCAGCAAUGCCGCGUGCAGGAUGAGGGCCUUCGGGUUGUAAACUGCUUUUGUACGGAACGAAAAGCCCUGGGUUAAUACCCUGGGGUCAUGACGGUACCGUAAGAAUAAGCACCGGCUAACUACGUGCCAGCAGCCGCCGUAA
This 498-nucleotide ribosomal RNA is filed under the name uncultured bacterium. Its description in RNAcentral is "partial 16S ribosomal RNA". It matches the Rfam family "Bacterial small subunit ribosomal RNA", at positions 30 to 523 of the family's 1533-position model. The record is from RNAcentral.